Molecule: ribosomal RNA, 498 nt
Filed under: uncultured bacterium
Lineage: Bacteria
Description: partial 16S ribosomal RNA
Rfam family: Bacterial small subunit ribosomal RNA
Source: RNAcentral
AUUGAACGCUGGCGGCAUGCCUUACACAUGCAAGUCGAACGGCAGCACGGGGCAACCUGGUGGCGAGUGGCGAACGGGUGAGUAAAGUAUCGGAACGUACCUUUCAGUGGGGGAUAACGUAGCGAAAGUUACGCUAAUACCGCAUAUUCUGUGAGCAGGAAAGCAGGGGAUCGCAAGACCUCAUGCUCAUGGAGCGGCCGAUAUCUGAUUAGCUAGUUGGUGGGGUAAAGGCUCACCAAGGCAACGAUCAGUAGCUGGUCUGAGAGGACGACCAGCCACACUGGAACUGAGACACGGUCCAGACUCCUACGGGAGGCAGCAGUGGGGAAUUUUGGACAAUGGGGGCAACCCUGAUCCAGCAAUGCCGCGUGAGUGAAGAAGGCCUUCGGGUUGUAAAGCUCUUUUGUCAGGGAAGAAACGACUCCUUCUAAUACAGGGGGCUCAUGACGGUACCGUAAGAAUAAGCACCGGCUAACUACGUGCCAGCCGCCGCGGUAA